GCCAGACUCCUACGGGAGGCAGCAGUGAGGAAUAUUGGUCAAUGGCCGAGAGGCUGAACCAGCCAAGUCGCGUGAGGGAAGACGGCCCUACGGGUUGUAAACCUCUUUUGUCGGGGAGCAAAGCGAGUCACGUGUGACUCAUUGAGAGUACCCGAAGAAAAAGCAUCGGCUAACUCCGUGCCAGCAGCCGCGGUAAUACGGAGGAUGCGAGCGUUAUCCGGAUUUAUUGGGUUUAAAGGGUGCGCAGGCGGGCUGUUAAGCCGGCGGUAAAAAUUCAGGGCUCAACCCUGUCGAGCCGUCGGAACUGGCAGCCUUGAGUGGGCGAGAAGUAUGCGGAAUGCGUGGUGUAGCGGUGAAAUGCAUAGAUAUCACGCAGAACGCCGAUUGCGAAGGCAGCAUACCGGCGCCCGACUGACGCUGAGGCACGAAAGCGUGGGGAUCGAACAGGAUUAGAUACCCCUGUAA
RNAcentral lists this ribosomal RNA (465 nucleotides) under uncultured bacterium. Its description in RNAcentral is "bacterial SSU rRNA". It matches the Rfam family "Bacterial small subunit ribosomal RNA", at positions 330 to 793 of the family's 1533-position model. The record is from RNAcentral.